This 494-nucleotide ribosomal RNA is filed under the name uncultured bacterium. RNAcentral describes it as "bacterial SSU rRNA". It matches the Rfam family "Bacterial small subunit ribosomal RNA", at positions 30 to 507 of the family's 1533-position model. The record is from RNAcentral.
AUGAACGCUAGCGGCAGGCUUAAUACAUGCAAGUUGAGGGGCAGCAUGAUAUACGCGAGUAUAUUGAUGGCGACCGGCGGACGGGUGAGUAAUAGGUAGGAGACCUACCUCAUACAGGGGGAUAGCAUAGAGAAAUCUGUGGUAAUACCCCAUGAGGUUAUAUGAAUAGAGGCAUAUAAUCAAAGCAUAAGCGAUUAUGCGGUAUGAGAGGGGCCUACUGACCAUUAGCUAGUUGGUGAGGUAAGGGCUCACCAAGGCGAAGAUGGUUAGGGGUUUUGAGAGAGAGACCCCCCACAUUGGAACUGAGAGACGGUCCAGACUCCUACGGGAGGCAGCAGUAGGGAAUAUUGGGCAAUGGGCGAAAGCCUGACCCAGCCAUGCCGCGUGAAGGAAGACGGCCUUACGGGUUGUAAACUUCUUUACUACGCGAAUAGAGGUUAGUACGAGAUACUAAUAGGAAGGUAGUGUAGUAAAAAGCACCGGCUAACUCCGUG